This 348-nucleotide unclassified non-coding RNA is filed under the name uncultured fungus. RNAcentral describes it as "partial contains small subunit ribosomal RNA, internal transcribed spacer 1, and 5.8S ribosomal RNA". The stretch from base 1 to 73 matches the Rfam family "Eukaryotic small subunit ribosomal RNA", at positions 1759 to 1831 of the family's 1831-position model. The record is from RNAcentral. Lineage: Eukaryota; Fungi.
GCAAACUUGGUCAUUUAGAGGAAGUAAAAGUCGUAACAAGGUUUCCGUAGGUGAACCUGCGGAAGGAUCAUUACAGUGCGAUUGUGAGGUACGGCCGCUGCUUGCAUGCCCUCUGCCUCACAACCAGCCACCCGUGUCUACCGUUACCUCCUGUUGCCUCGGCGGGCCCGCUUCGGCCGCCGGGAAGGCACCUAGACAGUGCCUUCCCGGUCAGCGCCCGCCAGAGGGCCACACGCGAACUCUUUUUGUGAAUAUCGUGACGUCUGAUUGAGACUUUGAUCAUCGAAUCAAGCUUAUAAAACUUUCAACAACGGAUCUCUUGGUUCCGGCAUCGAUGAAGAACGCAGC